This is a long non-coding RNA of Homo sapiens (human), 1439 nucleotides long. The record is from Ensembl. Lineage: Eukaryota; Metazoa; Chordata; Mammalia; Primates; Hominidae.
GCGCGCCCACCCACAGUGGGCUGCACCGGAGGAGGCACGUGGGAGCCUGCAUUUCUGGAAAGAGUCACAUGUUGCACUAUUGAAAAGAACCCUGAAAAUACAAAUCAUUAUGGAUAAAGCUUUGUAUGCUUAUAUGGGCUCUGAUGUGACAGCUGCAGCUGAGAAAGUUGUCCAUAUCUUUGGUCUUAUCAACACUUAUUCAAAGACAGUAACUUUAGAGGGAUUUUCAGUUGUUAUGACACAGUUGCUUGGAAUUAAUCUGGGAUUGACAUAUGAUGACAUCUACAACUGUAACUGUCCAGGAGCUACAUGCGUAAUGAAUUCUAAGGCAAUUCCACAGUGUGCAAUAUUUCAGAAGAGUAGAGAGAGCUUCUCCCUUCCAACAUUCAUUUCAAUACUUGGUAGUGGAGGAAAACAUGACUGAUCUUGUGAAACUGAAUUUCCCAUCACUGUACUAUCACUGUAUCUGAGGUUGCUCAGGGUGCUCCUUAUCUGUGUUCACAAGAAGUGAAUUUGCAUGCCAACAAUUUUGGAAACUGUAAAACUAGUUCCUAUAAUUUCGAGUACACAUUUUUAAACGUAUACAUUUUUCUAACGUUGGUAUGUGCGUGUGUAUUUCAGAGGGUCACUUAAUACAAAUGAGAGAUGUAGCAUAUACAGACGUGUCCUUUGUGCAAAGCUAGUUUGUCACUGGAAAAGUACAGAACUAAUACGACAUAAAGAUGAUGAUGCUUAAUAUACUUACCUUGGAAACCAUGUAUGUGUGUCUACAUUUUUACGAAAUUCAUGUGGUAGCAUAAAGGAUAACUCCUAUGUAAAAAAUGGUACUUUUUGUGGUCUAGAAAAGUUAUGUGAUAAUGGAGUUUGCCAACUUGUGAGCACAUAUGCAGAUAGAAGACAAGGUAACUGGGAAGAAAAAUGCGGUGGACAUGGGGUUUGCAAUACUCUGAAUAAUUGUCAACGUGAUGUUGCAUAUUCUCCUCAAACUUGUAGGCAAGAUAGUUCAUCACCAGGAGGAAGUAUUGAUGAUGGGUUUUGGAUUUUAGGAAAAAGUACACCCUUGUUUGUGAAAUGACAUGCUGUUCCUCAGAAAAAUGGCCUUUAAUCAGUUGCUACAUUUUUCUACCUUUCCUCAUUUUAACUGCCAUCAUUGGUCUUAAAUGGAACAAAAUGAAGGGAUUUUGACACUGAGCAAAAAGUGUAAGUGGAAGAAGACAGCAGUAGUAGCAGCAACAGUAACAGCAGUAGUGACAGCAACCAGUCAUAGAGUAACUACAUGAUAACAUCAAAAGCCAUAAGAUAGAGAAAGGAUAUUACCAAGAAACUUACCAUUAACUGGCUUGAUUCAACAAUGAAAACAAAAAUCGCCUUUUUUCUCCUUUCAUUAUGGCUUAAAGCUUUCAAUUGCACAAACAAAAUAAAUUAUAUGACAGGAAGUA